UGUCCCUGCCUGUGUGGACUUUGGCUGACACAGAGAUAGGGAAGCUCUGAGAGGACGAUGAUGACGAAGAGGCUGGUGAAUUCCUCUGGAGGUGGGCUCUAAAUACAAUGGCAAGUGUCUUCACAAGAAACACAGAGAGAGGAGAAAACGGAUAUGUGACUAAAGAGACAAAGAUUGGAGCUGUGCAGCCCUAAGCGGAGGAGUGUCUGGAACUACCAGGAGCCAGGACAGCCUGUGGAACUGCUGACAUAAAAUGACAUCCCUGCAGCCAGGGACAUCAGCCAGGGGGAGGCCGCUCAAGGUCAGUGAGCCCCUCGAAUGACUGCAUGAGGCAAGAAGACGAACACCCACAGCCCGACUCCCAGCACCUGCUCGUCGGGACUGUGAUGGAAGCAGGCUUCCUCAGCCCACUGACUGGCUGGUUCAAAGGACAGGUGACGAGUGGAGGAAUACAGCCUGACGUGAAAGGGACUUGGAGCCAGAGAGGAACAUGGCAGACCUGAGAGCAAGAAAGCUGAAACACAGAUGUUGUUGACAUGUUUCCAUGUCAACCGAGUGUCUUGGAUCCAGGUGCUGGACUGACGGUGUUUCUGCAGGAUGGUAGGGAAGCUGAUGGGACCAGCCAGGCCAGGGCAGGCCUCGCUGGCUGUUCCGUUUUUCCUGGGGUCACCUUUCAUGGAGCCUGUUUCCUCUUAGUCCACUGGUAAAUCGUUACGGAGCCACAGCUGGGCUGUGUGAGACUGUCCCGCAGGCUUCAAUAGCCUUGGACAUGAAGGAGGCUGUCAACUCCUAGGAUCAAACUUUGUUUGCUCGACUGCACCCCCAGGGGACCUCGGGCCUUCUUUCGCAGUCCUAAGCCCCUCUAGUGUGUCUGAGUGUUCUGAGGCUCCAUGGUCAGUCCAGCUAUGGAAACAGCACCCUGUCCUCUGUAAGCUGCCUUGUUAGGAGGUCCCUCACAAAGGUGUUGAACCACAGAAGUUGAGUAGAUCAGGUUUGAGUUACACAUGACCCUUUUCUUUCAGAGUGCAACCUCCUCCCACCAAAGGGGAUAACUGGUGUGGAGUCUAACAAAAGCCACCCAUGCCUUCCUCUCUCAUUGUUUUUCUCCCCUGGGGUAUAUUCUCCCCAGGUAGGCACACCACCCUUCCUUUAAGUUGUCUUCUUUUAUUUUCUACCCGCCACCCCACCCCAUUACAGCUUACCAGUUGAAGAGGCCUACUUGAAAGAAAUAUGUUUUUGCAGAGGAAUGGACCUCCAAGUACUGGCAAAUGUAGAACAACGUGAUUGCGCACGUGAGGAGGAGGGCCCGAGGGGAGGAUGUGAAGGGGCUGGCAUGGCAAGCGCCCUGGGACAGGCGAGUGGGGACAGUUAGAGAGCUGAGAUGAGAUUACUAGAGACCCAGGAGGAGGGCAGCCUAUGUGCUUCCAUGGCAACCCCGGCUUUCCUCUGAGCUGCCUCCCACAAUUAAAGUGCCUUGUAAUUGCUCUUUCAGCCAUCUCCCCCACUAAUCUAUGAGCUUCAGAGACCUAAGCUUUAAUCUCUGUAUUCCCAGAACCCAGCUUAGUUUCUGAUAUAUUACAGGUGUUCAAAACACAGAAGAGCGGCUCGCGCAAAGAUCUAGGGGCAAAACAGGCAAACUGUGGGCUGGGACAGUAAACAAAAUUGCUUGGUUUGAAAUGAUGGAUACGUGUAGGCAAAUGGCUCUUGUAAUGGGGGGGCGACCCUUUGGUAGUUCGCCUUGAGUGCUUAUAUGUUGCUUAACAGUGAGGCGGAAGCUGAAAUCAAUUUGUGGGUGUGGAUCCAACAAGAGAGCUCACGAAUUCAUUUGCAGACAUUGUGUUUCGAAUGGCUGGGUUGGGGAGAAAGGAGGAACUUGCAAGGUGUUGUUGGUAGUCAGCACGGAGAUAGGCAGGUCAGGAGCUGAAGGAGCAUUUGUGGAACAAAAGGAUGGAGCAGAGAGGGAGGGUGAGUGGGCAGGAACUAGGCUGCGGUAAGUGAGCAUCUAGAGACAUGGUGGAUUCAUUCAUUCGUUUGCUCCUUUGUCCAUUUAUUCAUAAACUCAUGGUGCUUUCCAGCAUUGGGCUGUGGCAGCGCCCUUGCUGAGGGCUCCUCUGUUUGCUGUCAGGUGGCGGCUGCAGGCACAGCACAGCCAGAGGAUGGACUGUGACUUCAGUCUGCACUGCUUCCUGUCCCAAUCCUGCCUGCAUGCUGCUCGGCCAUUUAUUUAACUUCUCUAAACCUCGCUCUCCUCCUCUGUGAGGUGGAGAUGAUGACAUAUCUGAUCGAGUUAUUGUGAGAACUGCCUGAGAUAAUGCACGGAGCUGACAAAGGCGAGCUAUCACAUGACAAACGAAUAUUUCUUAAGUACCUACCUAUGUGUUACGCCCAUUAGGAUACCCAUACAGGUAAGACCCAUCUUGCCUCUAGCACCCCAAAGACAACUUUUUUUGUGGGGGUUGGGUAUUUGUAAACUGUGCUGUGUGAUAUAAUAUGGUAAAUGGUUGAAUAGAUGGGUGACUUAGUGUCAUGGAACUCUGAGAGACAAACGGAGCGUUAAGAGAGAUGCCACAGAGGAAAUGGUAAUCAAACUGAAAAGAAAUAGACGUUGGGAAGAUGAGAGGAGGAAGAGGAAAAGGCAUUUCAGACAAGAGGAACAACUGUGCAAAAGGACAAAGGAGAACGACAUGCCUCCCUCCCGGGGCUUUAGGAGUGGACUCAGGCCCCAGGGCCUGCAUGGUAAGAAGGAAGCUCUCGAAAAAUCAACAAACUCUAGUUUUCUCCCCACCUUUGCUAAACCCCAGCUGUAUCUUCUCUAGACAACUUGUAGCUCAAACCAAGAAAAUGGAGGGAUGUCUCGCAAAAGAGGAGAGAGAAGGCGAGGGCUCUAAGACCAAAGCUUUUAUGACCGUGGUUGAUGAGCCAAUAAAGGGAGAUAAAGCACGCGUCUGCAGAGGAAGCCAGCAAAGGUCACGCAGGGUAAAAAGAGCAGAAACAAGGAGGUUCAUGUCACAUAGGUUAGGAAGGAAAUGUCUCAGGAGUGAGUUUGGACAAUUAUAACAAAUGUAAAGAGAGGUAAAAAAUGGAAGCACAUUGUUAGGGCUGCUUCUAGUGGCUUUCUGCAGCCGACUCAGGGGUUUCCAUGGUAACAGCUGUGACCACUCUAAGAGGCUGUCUCUCCAAUGUUUGUGCAUGGCUCCAGAGAUGUUUCUUCUUCCCCUGGUAUCCCCACUGUCCUCUGUACCCCAUCAGGUCCAUGGUAGAGGUAGGUCCCAAAGAGGUGGGAGCAAGAGGGCACGCAGCUCUACCCAUAGCCACCCCACAGACCAGCCACUCUCCCAGGACAGUCCUUUUCACUGAAACCUUCUGACCAUCAUGGUGUCCAUGCAGGAUGACCCUCUUCAUGAAGGACAGUUGCCUUCCAACCUGGAGUCAGCCUCAGGGAGGAAUCUGGUAAAACCAAAUUAAAACAAAAAUGAAGUCUUUCCCUGUCAUUAUUGCAGCUGGGAUUGGUCUUCAAACUACCCAUUUGUACAAUUCUCCAAAAGAUGACCUUAAAGGACUCAGACUUCAAAUAUUUAAUGACAAAUAAAUAUGG
Molecule: long non-coding RNA, 3595 nt
Organism: Hipposideros armiger (great roundleaf bat)
Lineage: Eukaryota; Metazoa; Chordata; Mammalia; Chiroptera; Hipposideridae
Exons: 3
Source: RefSeq, a predicted model, not a curated record